This 67-nucleotide transfer RNA is filed under the name Mylomys dybowskii (African groove-toothed rat). RNAcentral's name for it is "tRNA-Pro". Lineage: Eukaryota; Metazoa; Chordata; Mammalia; Rodentia; Muridae. The record is from RNAcentral.
CAAGAAGUAGUUUAAUUAGAACGUCAGCUUUGGGUGUUGAUAGUAGAGGGAUAUCCUUUCUUCUUGA